Molecule: small RNA, 29 nt
Filed under: Bombyx mori (domestic silkworm)
Lineage: Eukaryota; Metazoa; Arthropoda; Insecta; Lepidoptera; Bombycidae
Description: ovarian small RNA-9972
Source: RNAcentral
AAACGAUGAAGGGUCCCACCGUACCCGGU